AUUGAACGCUGGCGGCAUGCUUUACACAUGCAAGUCGAACGGCAGCGCGGGCUUCGGCCUGGCGGCGAGUGGCGAACGGGUGAGUAAUGCAUCGGAACGUGCCCAGUAGUGGGGGAUAGCCCGGCGAAAGCCGGAUUAAUACCGCAUACGACCUGAGGGUGAAAGCGGAGGGCCGAAAGGCCUCGCGCUAUUGGAGCGGCCGAUGUCGGAUUAGCUAGUUGGUGGGGUAAAGGCUUACCAAGGCGACGAUCCGUAGCUGGUCUGAGAGGACGACCAGCCACACUGGGACUGAGACACGGCCCAGACUCCUACGGGAGGCAGCAGUGGGGAAUUUUGGACAAUGGGGGCAACCCUGAUCCAGCCAUGCCGCGUGCGGGAAGAAGGCCUUCGGGUUGUAAACCGCUUUUGUUCGGGAAGAAAUCCUCUGGGCUAAUACCCCGGGGGGAUGACGGUACCGGAAGAAUAAGCACCGGCUAACUACGUG
Molecule: ribosomal RNA, 484 nt
Filed under: uncultured bacterium
Lineage: Bacteria
Description: partial 16S ribosomal RNA
Rfam family: Bacterial small subunit ribosomal RNA
Source: RNAcentral